GAUGAGACUGAUCGUGGGGUUGACCAACAAGAUGGAAAGAACCACGCAGGAUCCCCUGGGUGCGAGGAGAGUGAUGCCGGUAAAGAAAAGUUGCCGAAGAUGAGACUGCCCACGCGCUCAGACAUGAUAUGCGGCUAUGCCUGCCUCAAAGGGACUGCCGCCAUGCGGAACACCAAACGAGGUUCCUGGUACAUCGAGGCUCUUGCUCAAGUGUUUUCUGAGCGGGCUUGUGAUAUGCACGUGGCCGACAUGCUGGUUAAGGUGAGC
This 267-nucleotide long non-coding RNA is filed under the name Pan troglodytes (chimpanzee). RNAcentral's name for it is "long non-coding RNA NONPTRT015915". The record is from RNAcentral. Lineage: Eukaryota; Metazoa; Chordata; Mammalia; Primates; Hominidae.